CUUCUUCGGCCCGAGCCGGGCCCGCGGGAGCCCCAGGAUGGCUACUAGCCCGCCCACAAAGGAGGCCGCGGCAGCCACCCAGAAGGAUGGCGCGUUCCCUCCGCCGAAGAGCUGGUCCCAUGGCCCGCUGCCCAGCGACACGAUGAUCUGCAGGUACCACACGGUCACUUCCAGUUAACUUUCUGUUUCCCCUAGGAAAACAUAUGCUUCUACUUUUGUGUUUCACCUAAAAAAACCAUAUGCUUAUACUUCUCUACUCAAGUUUUCAGGUUCAACUCUGCUAAUUACUGCAGACCAAAAGUCUCAGGUAAAUAAGGCACGGAGUGGUCAUGAUACGUUAGAAUGUUCGAAUGUUUUAUCUGAGAACUGUGGUCAUAACUAAGUUGAUCAUGUAUAGAGCGUUUGGCUUAGUUUUUUAGAUCUCCAGUUUUUAUGUUAUUCAGCCAAUGGUUGGAUCACAACGGAGAUUAGUUACCACAAUAAGAAAUUCACGGCGUACACACUAACAUCUCUACUAUUAAAGUGGUAAUGGUGAACAGAUAACAAAGUUUUUUGUUCACUUAUUUCUCACUGAAAAAUAAUGCUUUGGUCUUUCCUGUUAAUUAUUUGGUCGACAUGCACUUUUUUUCCGGUGCUUAGCUCUUCUUGUAUGCUUUAAUAGUUUGUACAAAUACUAAAUUCCAUAUAUUGGAAGUUAUGUACAGUCUCGAUACACUAUUUGCAGGUCUAACAUCUGGGAGUUCGAACAAGUUGGAUGAAUUUCUCCAUUCCAGUUUCUCUAUGUUGACCCAAUGCCAAAGUAACCAGUAAAUAACUUACGGCGACAGUACAAUACAUAUAUGUACAGAUCAGAAGAGACGAAUCGGCUUCCACCGGAUCCUUAGCUGGCGUAGCCUCAACUGCUUGCUCAGGACGGUUUCUUAGGAUGACGUGGAGCCUCCCGCGGCAGUAGUCCCCUGAUCUCCC
Triticum dicoccoides is the source of this 966-nucleotide long non-coding RNA. RefSeq lists it as uncharacterized. The record is from RefSeq and is a predicted model, not a curated record. NCBI's taxonomy places the organism in Eukaryota, Viridiplantae, Streptophyta, Magnoliopsida, Poales, Poaceae. The transcript has 3 exons.